AUAUCGCUUUGGGGGUAUUCUGAAAAGAAUUGAGAGAGUCCCUUUGAACCUGAUGCGGUUUAGACCGUCGUAGGGAAAAGUUUUGUGGGUGCA
Molecule: non-coding RNA, 93 nt
Filed under: Zunongwangia profunda
Lineage: Bacteria; Pseudomonadati; Bacteroidota; Flavobacteriia; Flavobacteriales; Flavobacteriaceae
Description: TPP sequence
Rfam family: TPP riboswitch aptamer (THI element)
About the family: Vitamin B(1) in its active form thiamin pyrophosphate (TPP) is an essential coenzyme that is synthesised by coupling of pyrimidine and thiazole moieties in bacteria. The previously detected thiamin-regulatory element, thi box was extended, resulting in a new, highly conserved RNA secondary structure, the THI element, which is widely distributed in eubacteria and also occurs in some archaea.
Source: RNAcentral